Camelina sativa (false flax) is the source of this 155-nucleotide non-coding RNA. Lineage: Eukaryota; Viridiplantae; Streptophyta; Magnoliopsida; Brassicales; Brassicaceae. The record is from RefSeq and is a predicted model, not a curated record.
CUCACUCAUCAAUGUCCAACUAUGUAACAGCCUUGUCACCCGACCAGAUAACUGUUCAUUUAUCAAUGGUGAAUAUCUAAAAUCUGGUUUAGAAAAGUUAGAGAAAUGGUGCUCCGAGACAAAAGAAGAGUAUGCUGGCUCAUUAUGGGAGGAAC